UUAUGACGAUUGCGAUGACAUGGCCUCGUCUCCAACUCUCGGCGAGUCCGCGUACGUGCAGGAGGAAACACGUGCUGACAAAACUCCGCGUUUAUGACGUCUGAGCGGAGUCCCUCGGUGACGACGGUCCCUACUUAAGGAACUUCUAUACCUCCAUCCACCGAAUAAGCAAUCCAGAAUUUUUGGCGCUUCUCGUCUCGUCCCGAAAUAGUCCACUGGAGGAUCCUCACCCGCGUGAAGCCUUUCUCCGUUCGCGGUGUCACCAUGUCGCCUCUUGUUCUGAUGGUCGCCACCCUCGCGACCUUCUUAAACUCGAAUGCUUCUUCACCUGUGAGGCUGGUCAACUCUGACAACCGCUGCUCUGGACGGGUUGAGGUCCAUCAUAAUGGACAAUGGGGAACUGUGUGUGACGACGGAUGGGACUUUAGAGCGGCCAAUGUGGUGUGCAGACAGUUGAAGUGUGGCAAGGCUCAUUCCUAUUUAACCAGCGCAGCUUUUGGGAAAGGCACUGGCCCCAUUUGGAUGGAUGAUGUCCGUUGUUCUGGACAGGAAACUUCAAUAACAAGCUGCAAACACCGUGGUUUUGGGGUCCACGACUGUUAUCACAAGCAGGAUGUCAGCAUUAAAUGCUCAGGUGAACUCAAGAUUUCGCACCUUGUUUGUGGCCAUGACAAAAUUAAAGUGGGCCUGGAUUAUGAUAGCGUAAAUCAAUCUGGUUAUAACCCAAUCUCUGGCAACCUGGCAGUCCGCAACUGUGCCCUGGUCACGGUACAAGACAAUCUUGUAUGGUACGAAGCUGAUGGCCAGGCACAUGCUUGUGGAAACACACUGACGACCAACAGCACACAUGCAAUCUACUCCAAUAGCUUAUUUGUCUACCCUUUGAAGCAAGGCUUCUCUAUUCCUGUAAGUCUUCCUUUCUCAUGUGCCUAUCCCCUGGUCACAGAAAGCCUGCUGUUCAUCAAACCAUCCAUGAAUCUGGAAGGAGGCAUUGUUGCCUCUGGUGACAAAGCCAUGGCCUCUAUGAUCCUGUUCCGGAACUCCAACUUUACUGAGCUUUAUCCAGCGGGUGCUGUCCUUCCAGUGGGUUCACCAUUGUAUGUUGGGGUCUCUGUGCUCAAAGAUCCCAGUUUGGCAGUUGUCUUAGAGGACUGCUUCGCUUCUCAUUCAUCAAACCCUGACUACCCGGAGCAAUACUCUCUUAUCCACAACAAAUGUUCCGCUGACCGCCAACAAGUGUUUGUGGUUGAGAAUGGUUCAUCCAUGCGGGCUCGUUUUACUGCCCUAUUCUUCCUUAUUGAUGGAGAACACAGAGGUGUCUACCUCCACUGUAGACUCAGCCUGUGUGACCCAAGGAGUGACUCAUGCAUUCCGCCUUGCACGAGGAGCGUACGACGCUCUGUUUCAAAUUCCGCUCCAAUGAACCCCCCGCUUACCAUCGGUCCAAUCACUUGGGGCAAAUCAUCUGAGUGAAAUCCAGUAAAAAUGACGUCUUUUUUUAACAAGGAAACCAGCGAAUCAGCUCCUUUAUUCUCUGAGGUGCUGGCAGUGGCGCAUUUACGCAUGCAACCCGAGAUACACACAUGGGAGACGUCAGGAGAGCGGUAAAAAAACAGCGAAGAACAACAGGUUUCAUUUUUUUUUUUUUUUUUUUUUUGCGAAGAAAUGCAACAGGGGGAGCAACGUUUGGUGAAGAAAGAGGCCUAUGUCCUUGAGACUGCUGUGGAGAUGCUGGAGUCCAGUGCGGUCAUAGGGUGCCACCGCAGAGUGCCAGCAUAGGGUGCCAACGCUACAAACUGUCAAAGGAGCAUUGCCUGGAUAUGUGACACAUGCAAUGUGAGCAUGUGUCUCCAGUCAGAGAGGAACUGCUACUGGCAGUUCCACCAAGGCCUCUGAGAAAUCAGAUUUUAUAUACAGUCUAUAUAACUAUUGGGCUCCUAUAUAACACC
Molecule: RNA transcript, 1949 nt
Organism: Corythoichthys intestinalis (scribbled pipefish)
Lineage: Eukaryota; Metazoa; Chordata; Actinopteri; Syngnathiformes; Syngnathidae
Gene name: pancreatic secretory granule membrane major glycoprotein GP2-like
Exons: 10
Source: RefSeq, a predicted model, not a curated record